UACGAAGGGGGCUAGCGUUGUUCGGAAUUACUGGGCGUAAAGCGCACGUAGGCGGAUACUUAAGUCGGGGGUGAAAUCCCGGGGCUCAACCCCGGAACUGCCUUUGAUACUGGGUAUCUCGAGUCCGGAAGAGGUGAGUGGAAUUCCGAGUGUAGAGGUGGAAUUCGUAGAUAUUAGGAAGAACACCAGUGGCGAAGGCGGCUCACUGGUCCGGUACUGACGCUGAGGUGCGAAAGCGUGGGGAGCAAACAGG
This 253-nucleotide ribosomal RNA is filed under the name uncultured bacterium. Its description in RNAcentral is "partial 16S ribosomal RNA". It matches the Rfam family "Bacterial small subunit ribosomal RNA", at positions 524 to 776 of the family's 1533-position model. The record is from RNAcentral.